GUGGGGAAUCUUGCGCAAUGGGCGAAAGCCUGACGCAGCCAUGCCGCGUGGAUGAUGAAGGUCUUAGGAUUGUAAAAUCCUUUCACCGGUGAAGAUAAUGACUGUAGCCGGAGAAGAAGCCCCGGCUAACUUCGUGCCAGCAGCCGCGGUAAUACGAAGGGGGCUAGCGUUGCUCGGAUUUACUAGGCGUAAAGGGCGCGUAGGCGGACAUUUAAGUCAGGGGUGAAAUCCCGGGGCUCAACCUCGGAACUGCCUUUGAUACUGGGUGUCUUGAGUAUGAGAGAGGUGUGUGGAACUCCGAGUGUAGAGGUGAAAUUCGUAGAUAUUCGGAAGAACACCAGUGGCGAAGGCGACACACUGGCUCAUUACUGACGCUGAGGCGCGAAAGCGUGGGGAGCAAACAGGAUUAGAAACCCCAGUAGUCC
This 425-nucleotide ribosomal RNA is filed under the name uncultured bacterium. RNAcentral's name for it is "partial 16S ribosomal RNA". It matches the Rfam family "Bacterial small subunit ribosomal RNA", at positions 354 to 796 of the family's 1533-position model. The record is from RNAcentral.